UGCGCAGUCAUUGGGGAGUAGCCGAUUCCUGAAGAAUUUAUCAGGAAUGUUCGUGUCAACAUACUCGUUUUCUAAAAACGUGGUGCGAACGGCCAAGCUGGCAGGCGAGACCAUAGACACGGGAUUCACCGUUAUGGUU
This 139-nucleotide small RNA is filed under the name Serratia sp. (in: enterobacteria). Its description in RNAcentral is "Serratia sp. Manganese sequence". It matches the Rfam family "Manganese Mn2+ riboswitch aptamer (yybP-ykoY)". From Rfam's summary of the family: This RNA was originally discovered in E. coli during a large scale screen and was named SraF. The family was later found to exist upstream of related families of protein genes in many bacteria, including the the yybP and ykoK genes in B. subtilis. RNAcentral also lists the same sequence under 1 other name. The record is from RNAcentral. Lineage: Bacteria; Pseudomonadati; Pseudomonadota; Gammaproteobacteria; Enterobacterales; Yersiniaceae.